GGGUGGACUAACAGACAUGUAAUUGUAACCAGACUAAAUUUGACAGAUGGAAUUAGAAAAUGUGCCAUCAUACAUCCCUGUAACCAGUAUGAUCUCCACAGUAUAAAGGAAUCUGUACAUGCCUAAAGGAAGCAGACUCUGUUUCUCAUCAACCCCAUUGCCAGCAGAGAGAAUUUUCGUGUUAUGAAUGUUAUUUUCACUAUUCAUCUCACCCUGUGGUAAGGGACAUCAUUAUUUACUCAUUGUAGUCUGGAAGCCCUGUCAGCCUCAGAUAAAACUUUUCCAUGAGAAAAUAUCCCAGUGGGCCAGUCCAAGACUUUAGAGCAUUGAGAGCACAUGCCACCAGGCCAUUUAAUAACCCAUAUAGUUCUUUGCCAGCCCUCCUGUGACUGCAACUGUAUUACUAAACUAACACAUUAUCCUUCCUUCCUUCCUUAUCCUUUUAUUUAACAACAGGAUCUAAAGCUAUAGAGAC
Molecule: non-coding RNA, 475 nt
Organism: Pelobates cultripes (western spadefoot toad)
Lineage: Eukaryota; Metazoa; Chordata; Amphibia; Anura; Pelobatidae
Source: the annotation of a GenBank genome assembly